Molecule: ribosomal RNA, 400 nt
Filed under: uncultured bacterium
Lineage: Bacteria
Description: bacterial SSU rRNA
Rfam family: Bacterial small subunit ribosomal RNA
Source: RNAcentral
UAGGGAAUAUUGGACAAUGGGCGGAAGCCUGAUCCAGCCAUGCCGCGUGGAGGAAGAAUGCCCUCUGGGUUGUAAACUCCUUUUGAAAGGGAAGAAACCUCUCUAUUUAUGGAUGAGCUGACGGUACCUUUCGAAUAAGCACCGGCUAACUCCGUGCCAGCAGCCGCGGUAAUACGGAGGGUGCAAGCGUUAUCCGGAUUUACUGGGUUUAAAGGGUGCGUAGGCGGGCCGAUAAGUCAGUGGUGAAAUACCCGUGCUCAACAUGGGAAUUGCCAUUGAUACUGUUGGUCUUGAAUAUGAGUGAGGCAGGCGGAAUGAUGCAUGUAGCGGUGAAAUGCUUAGAUAUGUUUCAGAACACCUAUUGCGAAGGCAGCUUGCUAAUUCAUGAUUGACGCUGAGG